UCAAUAAAUAAGAUUAGGCAAGUUGUUUAUCAUUCAUGUUUAUAUGUGUCCAUGAAUCAUCUAAGAAAUUAAUAGAUGAUGACACAUAUUCUCAAGGAGUUGAAAAUUUGAGGCAUGUGUCAUUAGGGAUUAAUUUCUAAAUGCUCCGAUCGAUGGAUCCAUCACGAGGGACGGUGAUUGAUCCACUGAGAUUAGUGAACAGAUCACUUAGUUAGAUGGACGAGUCUCGAGUCCACAGUGUAGAGACACUAGAGUGAUUAUGCGAGUACUUGUUAGAGAACAAGGUACUGAGCGUGACCAAAGAAAGUAGUCUAUCCACUCGUCAGUGACUACUUAUGCUGCAGUUGUAUGACUGAUCCUUUGACCUGCGAUGCCUCAGCUAUUCACUGUGAGGUUGUUGUAGUUUGACGAGCAUGUAAACUUGGGCCCUAGCCAUUCGGAUCCUUGUCGUGCGGAUUGGCUACAGUAGGUUCAUUUUGGAAUAGGGUUGCAUCUAGAUGAGAUCUAUCGACCUUGAUAGAUUAGGAGUGAUCCUAUAUGAUUUAUGAGACUGAGUUCGAUAAAUUUCUGGCCAGGCAUUUUGGAAAAAGAGUUUUCCAUAUCUCGAACUGGAAGUCG
Molecule: long non-coding RNA, 618 nt
Filed under: Phoenix dactylifera (date palm)
Lineage: Eukaryota; Viridiplantae; Streptophyta; Magnoliopsida; Arecales; Arecaceae
Description: long non-coding RNA (PDAC_LNC017265)
Source: RNAcentral